This is an RNA transcript of Cavia porcellus (domestic guinea pig), 5475 nucleotides long. It is a transcript of the gene named skin secretory protein xP2-like, with no coding region annotated. The transcript is spliced from 5 exons. Lineage: Eukaryota; Metazoa; Chordata; Mammalia; Rodentia; Caviidae. The record is from RefSeq and is a predicted model, not a curated record.
GCAGUAGGGGAAGGGUUAGGUGCAAGCGCCCCCGCGUGGCGUUUUGUGGGUACAAAGGCCUGAAGAGCAGUCUCAGGCUGCCCCUGACCCAGCCCCAUCGGGAAAAUCCGCGGACCCCAGGGCCGCUGAAUCCGACUGUAAAGACAGGAAAUAGCUUUUAGUGCGAGGGUGCCGCGUGGGUGCUGCGUCCUCUGGGCGGCGUCCUGACGGGCGUCACCGUGUCCACGGCCAAAGCUGUGCGCCCCUGCGCACACGGAUCACUGCAGUGCAGGUUUGCGGGGCGCUGCGGGGGUGCAGGACCUGGGUGAGGCGCUGUGAUCCAGGCCUGUGAGGAAGGAUCCCUUGGAGAGAAGGAACCUCCAGGAAGGGCUCCCCGGAUAGAGCGGGCGGGGUGCACCCCAGCACCCCAGCAGAGGCGGGGCUCUCCAUUCAUCAGUGUCAGGGAAGAGCUCCUGGCUGGCUGCCUGCUCAGCAGGUGGCGUUUGUCCUGAAGGUGAGGUUGAGUCAGAAAAGGUAUUGGGGAGGAGAGUGACGCCACCGACCCGGGUUUACAAAAGACAAGUGGGUAGCAGAGAGGAAGAUGGACUGGAGGAAUCGGGAAGGCUGCAUGGAGGCAGGGAGAGCUGGAGGACCCUGUCAGAAGUUCGCAAAAGCCAUGAUGGGAACAGGGGCCUUCUGACUGCAAGGGGGUUGCCCAGAGAAUUGCUGGAUAACAGAGACCUAAUUGCAGGGGCUGCCAGGAGUGCAGUGGUUUUCUUCAGAGGCACUGUGGGUGAUGAGCAACAAUCCAGGAGGCCCAGGAAGCGCCUGGACAAGAGGUCAGGCCUCUGAUGUUAGGUCUCUGCAAGUACACGGUUGUCCAAGAGGGCACCAACAGUGUAGGCAUCGCGUCCCCAGGCUUCUUCAGGGAUCAUUGCCGUGAGGCCUCCAGUCACCUCUCUCUGCUCCAGGGACCUCCCUGCACUGCGCUGAGGGGCCUGAGCCACUUGUCCUGUCCAGUCCAUUAGGGUCACUCCUGUUCCUCCUGCUCAUCCCUCCCCACUUCAUGUCCAGUGAGCACAAGACAGAGGCUGAACGGGCAGCGUGAAACAUUCCAGGAUAGGCUGGUGGGAAAGGACCUCACUAACUUUGUGAGACCCAAGGAGGAAGCAGGUGGAUGGAAAACACUAAGAGUUCAAUAAAUCAUCCUGCUCCCCAUCACAUACAGAGAGGCAGCAGAGCUGGGUGAUGCAAUGCUUGGAAUCUUGGCUGUGCCUCUUUUGUGGGUAUCACCUGCCCAUUUCCUCAUACAUAAAUGAAAAUAGUAAUGGCCCGUGUCCAACUCUGAGGUUGAUCGUAUAUGAUCCUCACACAGCACUGAAUAUCACUUUGAGAUACAGUGAGAACUGAUUAGAUGAUAGCCAUUACUUUGCUAAACCUCUACUUCCACUGUGUGCAAAGUGAUUCUCUUUUAGCACUGCCACACGGGCAAUGGCUGUUGUUUUUUAUGGCUCCCUCUCCACAACCAGUGAGAUUGGGAAAUGGUUAAGGAAAGGAAGACUCUCCUGUGUGAAGCUUGCUGGCCGAAGCUGUGAGCCCUGACCUUUGCCUGCCCAGCUGGUGAUGCUCACGGAAGAAGGGACUAUUCUAGUGGGGAUGAUGUUCCUGACACGUGGUUUUAGGAAUCUGCUCGGAAGGACGCAGUGCUCUCUGCUGAUGGAGCCUGGCACCACUAGAGGUGUGUGUCUUGCCGGUGAAGCAGCCCUGGGCCAGGUGUCCUCUCUCCUCUCCUUAACUGGUUUCCCCUCUCAACUUCUGAAGGCUCAUUUGGUUGGAGAUGUCCCUAGGUCCCCAGUCUAAAUUUGGUCUAAAUUUUGGUCUCACCCAGCAUUCUCUCUUAUAGGUUUUUGCUCUCUACUAUUAGCCUUUAUUCAAUUUUUAAUGAUGGGUAUUUGUGUGUGUAUUUAUUCAAGGUCGGCUCUCCCAGUAGGUGACAUAGCACUAGAGGGCGGAGAUUAAGUGUGUUUUAUUGACCAAGUCCAAUGACUUAACUUUAACUUUUCAAUCUGUUAAGUGAGAAUGCUAACACUGCCUUUUCCUAACUCACUGAGCUGUGAAAUUAGAAAAAGAAAAUACAUGGGAAAUUUCAUUGUAAAUUAUAAAAUGUGGUGCAAAGAACAGUUAUGCUUAGUGCUGUGCCUGUCUGAACAUGCACCACAGAGUACGUGUGAAAUGUGGGCUUAGACAGGAAUAUUGUUACGCGAGACAGUAGAGGAUGGUGGUUAGAAAAACACCCACAGUGUGAAAGGUCUUAGUGUGUAAAGUCACAGACAGCAGUCCCAACUUCUUAAAAUGUCCCGUUCAUUUCGUGCUGUGAGGCUUGGAGUUCUCAAAUCCAUAAAUAGGAGUUGCAGGCCUAGAGAAGACUAAACAUAUAAUGCAGUGGUAAGGAAGCCAGAGCCCGUGGAUCCUGACCAUCGGAAGGGUUUUCACAAGUAAGCUCCCACGAAGGCAUUCCUUUCCCACUGAGAGGCAGAGACGGCCACUGGAUGUCUGCUCACCAGCAGUGGGACUGCAGAUGGAGGGAAGGCACUUCCAGAGAAAUGGCUGCUGCCACCAGCACUUCACAGGGAGCAAACGGGAGGAAUGUGAAGCUCCUUAAGCCUAGAUAUUGCACAGAUAUAUAUGCAGCAUCUUCUCUGGGACAGAGAGUUGGAGGAGGUGGCUGAAGGCCAUGUUAUCCCAGUUUGCCCCUUUUCCUGAGCCCUAUUGAGAGGCCGUGGAACCUUUAAGAGGCGGGGCCUCGUGUAAGGAAGGGAGGCCAUUGGCUGUGUGCCCUUGAAGAGCACCCUGGGACAGGGCACCUUCCUUUUUUGGUUUGCUGACUGCUUGAAGUGAGCAGUGUUUUCUACAGUGUGCUCCCACCGUGAUGUGCUGCCCUGCCAUAGGCCUAAAAACAUCUGACCAACCAACCAUGGUCUGCAACCUCCAUAAUGUGUUCCAAAAUAACCAUUUCCUCUUUAGAAGGCGAUUGUCUCAGAUAUUUGUUUUGGUAACAGAAAUCUGACUAAUGCAUUAGAACAGGAGACCUAGGCUAUCAUUCCUUUGCCUUUGGUAGAAGAGCUGGGAAACAAGGGACAGUCCAUUUGAUGGUUAUUGUGGGCCAUGCAUUUCUAAGGUUGGGAACUCAAAGGCACAUGGUCCUAUGCCAGGAGGAUAAGAAGGGAAACAGCAGACUGAACCAAAAACAGUCACAUUUUCCUACACUAAGCCACUCUUGGGCUUUUUCUUAUUUUUUUAGGGGGCAGGAUAAUGUGUUGAUACUAUAGCCUCCCUGACUAUUGUCUCUUGGUAUCUGUUGUGUAUGUAAUUGUCCUUAGCUUGCUAGUAGCACGCUGUGUAUGGCUGUCAUUUUUAUGACAUAAUCCCUGGUUCUCCAGGGAUGUUUCCUUCCCGUGUUUGGAGAGGAGCCUAAUUUUUCUAACUCUUCAGCUCAGACCCGAGCGAGGCCUGACUUCUUCUGUCUGUAUGCAGCUGUGUCUGCCUUUGUGUCAAGGAGGUGAGCAGUGAGCCCCAGAGUCAGGUGACAGGAUGUAGUUGGACAGCAGUGAGCCUGUGGGAGGAGAAAUAGGCCCCGCGAUGGUGCAGUAAGGUGAACCUCACACUGGCUUCCCAGGAAGGCAGAGCUCCAUCACAGAGGCAAGUAAAUGAAGGUGACAAAAGCCCAGGUUUAGAAGUGGGAUGAGCAGCUAAGCACGGUGCUGCACACUGAUAACCCCAGAAGGCCACAAAUCUGAGCGCAGCCUGGGAAACAGUGAUUUCCUGAGACUGCAUCUCUAAGGCUGGAAGGGCUGGAGCUUAGUCUAAAGGCCCUGGGUUAAAUCUCUAGUGCUGCAAAAUCAAUACAUAAAUAUAUAAACAAAAAAAAAGGAAAAUGGGAUAAGGUAAAGUCACACAUGACCACUCAGGAGGGGAGGCCUGGUGUCCCGAUGUCUGGAGAUGACAAUGAGGGGGAGAAUGAGGUGGGUUCAUGAACAACAAUACAGGAGUCCAAGCAGCCAAACUGAUAAAUUUGGAGUUUAAUUAACUGAGCUGAGGACCACUUGUACACAGACACCCCCAUUUUAGAGUGCAAACAAGUGGCACUGAAUUGGAAAGUUACAGAGUUUUUAAAAGAGAAUCACGAAAGGCAUCCUGUUGGAAACAAUUUAGCUCGAAUCUUUCAUUAAUUUUUGGUUGACACCUGCCACCUGCUUCUUUUGCUGAGCAGGUUAAUUUUUCUCCUGCAGGUACAGGUCUUGCCAGGCCACCUCUGCCAAGGGUCAAGGGAAAGAAAGCCCAGAGAGGAGCUGGAAGAGGAAAAUCACAGAGAGAGGCAGGGGACAGGGAAGGGAAGGGUAUGAGGUUUCUCCCUUUUGCCCAAGGGCAGCCUCUGCCCUCCAGGACCUGAGCAGUUGACUCAGGAAAGGCUCCAGCUCCAUCCACCCUGCAGUUCUGCAGGAAGGCCCUGGCCUCCUUCCCUGACACACCGCAUGCUCACUGGCAGGUUAUUUCUGGAAGGCUCACAGCAGAGUAAGCAGGGACACAGGACAGCCUGCAAGUCGGCGGCCUGGGAGUGGAGACAGGGGAGCUUUGUGCACCCGAGUCCAGAGCAGCGCCCACUUCUCUUCUGCACAGUGGGCCAGGCUUCAGGCUUCCAGGCGACAUGCGGGGCUUCCUCCUCUACACUCUCCUCUGUGCAGAGCUGGCACAGGCAAUUUCUCAAGAGCCAUGCCGGACAUGGCAUUUUGAUGCCUAAAUAGGGAUUCAAGGUGUGAGGAAACUCAUCAUUUAGCAGCAUCACAGAUCAGAAACCAGGCUGCCGAGAGCCCAGCAGAGGUCUGCACAUUGAGGACGGAGCAGGCGCACCCACCGCUUACCCUGAUGGAGCCCCUGGAGCAGGACUCGCUGGACAGCUGCCCUAUCCAUGGCUGCCCCUUCCUGGAGACCCCAAGGGGUGACAUUUUCACACCACACGCUUUGAUGCUGGGAAGGUCCAUGUCUGAUGUCCUUGACACCUCGCUGGAGGUGGACUUGCAGGAGGAUCCCCCAGCUGAAGCCCUGGACCAAGGAAAGCACACUGUGCCCACCAAGGCAGAGGCCAUGCAUGAGGAGGACUGGGUUGGAGGGCCAGAUCCAGCCCAAGCUGAAGUCCCACCUGCGGAGCCCACACCAGCUCCACCUGCAGCUCCUUCCCCAGCUCUGAUACCACAGGAGGAGCCAGCCCCAGGAAGCCCCUCUGCACCAGGUGCAGGGCAGGGGCUCCUGGUGGCUCCACAGCAGAGCUCAGCUCCUGAGCUCCCCCGGGGGCCUGCUCCUGCCCCACCCCUGCCCUUCCCCUGCAUUACUGUGGCUCAUGUUUUGGUGUAUGCAUUUGCUCUGACUUUCUGGCUGUAUAUAAACAAUAGGAUUCUUUUCAAAUAAAAGGUAAGCUUGUAGUUAAGUUUAAACAAUCGG